CCUACGGGAGGCAGCAGUGGGGAAUAUUGCACAAUGGGCGCAAGCCUGAUGCAGCGACGCCGCGUGGGGGAUGACGGCCUUCGGGUUGUAAACUCCUUUCGCCAGGGACGAAGCGUUUUGUGACGGUACCUGGAGAAGAAGCACCGGCUAACUACGUGCCAGCAGCCGCGGUAAUACGUAGGGUGCAAGCGUUGUCCGGAAUUACUGGGCGUAAAGAGCUCGUAGGUGGUUUGUCACGUCGUCUGUGAAAUUCCACAGCUUAACUGUGGGCGUGCAGGCGAUACGGGCUGACUUGAGUACUGUAGGGGUAACUGGAAUUCCUGGUGUAGCGGUGAAAUGCGCAGAUAUCAGGAGGAACACCGAUGGCGAAGGCAGGUUACUGGGCAGUUACUGACGCUGAGG
RNAcentral lists this ribosomal RNA (402 nucleotides) under uncultured Bifidobacterium sp. RNAcentral's name for it is "bacterial SSU rRNA". It matches the Rfam family "Bacterial small subunit ribosomal RNA", at positions 338 to 751 of the family's 1533-position model. Lineage: Bacteria; Bacillati; Actinomycetota; Actinomycetes; Bifidobacteriales; Bifidobacteriaceae. The record is from RNAcentral.